UACGUAGGGGGCUAGCGUUGUCCGGAAUCAUUGGGCGUAAAGAGCGUGUAGGCGGUCCGGUAAGUCCGCUGUGAAAGUCGGGGGCUCAACCCUCGAAUGCCGGUGGAUACUGUCGGGCUAGAGUGCGGAAGAGGCGAGUGGAAUUCCUGGUGUAGCGGUGAAAUGCGCAGAUAUCAGGAGGAACACCUAUUGCGAAGGCAGCUCGCUGGGCCGUAACUGACGCUGAGACGCGAAAGCGUGGGGAGCAAACAGG
This 253-nucleotide ribosomal RNA is filed under the name uncultured bacterium. RNAcentral's name for it is "partial 16S ribosomal RNA". It matches the Rfam family "Bacterial small subunit ribosomal RNA", at positions 524 to 776 of the family's 1533-position model. The record is from RNAcentral.